Molecule: ribosomal RNA, 463 nt
Filed under: uncultured Methanocalculus sp.
Lineage: Archaea; Methanobacteriati; Methanobacteriota; Methanomicrobia; Methanomicrobiales; Methanocalculaceae
Description: bacterial SSU rRNA
Rfam family: Archaeal small subunit ribosomal RNA
Source: RNAcentral
CACCACAACGGGUGGAGCCUGCGGUUUAAUUGGAUUCAAACGCCGGACAACUCACCGGAUACGACAGCGGAAUGAUAGUCGGGCUGAAGACUCUACUUGACUAGCUGAGAGGAGGUGCAUGGCCGUCGUCAGUUCGUACUGUGAAGCAUCCUGUUAAGUCAGGCAACGAGCGAGACCCACGCCAACAGUUGCCAGCAUGGUCUUCGGACUGAUGGGGACACUGUUGGGACCGCCUCUGCUAAAGGGGAGGAAGGAAUGGGCAACGGUAGGUCAGCAUGCCCCGAAUUAUCCGGGCUACACGCGGGCUACAAUGGAUGGGACAAUGGGUUUCGACACCGAAAGGUGAAGGUAAUCUCCUAACCCCACCCUUAGUUCGGAUUGCGGGCUGCAACUCGCCCGCAUGAAGCUGGAAUCCGUAGUAAUCGCGUCUCAAGAUGGCGCGGUGAAUAUGUCCCUGCUCCUU